RNAcentral lists this ribosomal RNA (464 nucleotides) under uncultured bacterium. RNAcentral describes it as "partial 16S ribosomal RNA". It matches the Rfam family "Bacterial small subunit ribosomal RNA", at positions 339 to 795 of the family's 1533-position model. The record is from RNAcentral.
CUACGGGUGGCUCCAGUGAGGAAUUUUGCGCAAUGGGGGAAACCCUGACGCAGCAACGCCGCGUGAGCGAAGAAGGCCCUCGGGUCGUAAAGCUCUGUCAAGUGGGAAAAAAGCCUUUUGAUCAAUACCCAAAAGGUUUGAUGGUACCACUGGAGGAAGCACCGGCUAACUCCGUGCCAGCAGCCGCGGUAAUACGGAGGGUGCAAGCGUUGUUCGGAAUUACUGGGCGUAAAGGGCGUGCAGGCGGUUUGGCAAGUCAGAUGUGAAAGCCCUGGGCUUAACCCGGGAAGUGCAUUUGAAACUGCCUUUCUUGAGUAUGGGAGAGGAGAGUGGAAUUCCCAGUGUAGAGGUGACAUUCGUAGAUAUUGGGAGGAACACCCGUGGCGAAGGCGACUCUCUGGACCAAUACUGACGCUGAGACGCGAAAGCGUGGGGAGCAAACAGGAUUAGAUACCCGAGUAGUC